This is a long non-coding RNA of Macrobrachium nipponense, 408 nucleotides long. RefSeq lists it as uncharacterized. The transcript is spliced from 3 exons. NCBI's taxonomy places the organism in Eukaryota, Metazoa, Arthropoda, Malacostraca, Decapoda, Palaemonidae. The record is from RefSeq and is a predicted model, not a curated record.
AAACUGGGUAAUUUCUUCGCUCACUGGCGGAAGGUGCACUGUGCAUAAGUGUAGUCAUACCAGUGAUUUCUGGCGCCGGGUCCUCUCAAGACCUAAAUUUCAUAAUCAUACCAGCGACAACACAAUGGAGCUAUUGGUCUUCAGACCACCGAACUGGUUGAUCUACUUGGACCCUGGGAUCUGGAUGGAACUUGAUUUUCUUUACUUCAGUUUCGAAGAGGAUAGGUAACUAGAGAAGAUGGAAAUAAACGGUAAUAGAAUGUUAGUGUAACUUGAAUGUUAGUUUAACUUGAUCAGUUCUCCUCGGAGGUAUGCAGGACCUGGACAAAUGUCAUCGCUGAGGCAUAUGCAAUUGCUGAUGCAAUUGCUGAUGCUGGGCUUGUAAUGUAUCGCGGAUUAACUUUUGGU